GUUGUAUGGUUAAGUGAYUAAGCGUAGACGGUGGAUGCCUUGGCAGUCAGAGGCGAUGAAGGACGUAYUAACYUGCGAUAAGCCCAGAUAAGGCAGUAAAAGCCAUUUGAGUCUGGGAUUUCCGAAUGGGGAAACCCACCUGCAUAAGCAGGUAUCUUAGCGUGAAUACAUAGCGCUAAGAGGCGAACUCGGGGAACUGAAACAUCUAAGUACCCGAAGGAAAAGAAAUCAAUUGAGAUUCCGGCAGUAGCGGCGAGCGAACCCGGAGCAGCCCUUAAGCGGCUUAGGCGUUAGGUGAACAGGUUGGAAAACCUGGCA
This 318-nucleotide ribosomal RNA is filed under the name Salinivibrio sharmensis. RNAcentral describes it as "bacterial LSU rRNA". It matches the Rfam family "Bacterial large subunit ribosomal RNA", at positions 1 to 356 of the family's 2925-position model. The record is from RNAcentral. Lineage: Bacteria; Pseudomonadati; Pseudomonadota; Gammaproteobacteria; Vibrionales; Vibrionaceae.